This 253-nucleotide ribosomal RNA is filed under the name uncultured bacterium. RNAcentral's name for it is "partial 16S ribosomal RNA". It matches the Rfam family "Bacterial small subunit ribosomal RNA", at positions 524 to 776 of the family's 1533-position model. The record is from RNAcentral.
UACGUAGGUCGCAAGCGUUGUCCGGAUUUACUGGGCGUAAAGAGCGCGCAGGCGGCUGGUCAAGUCCGAUGUGAAGUCUCCCGGCUCAACUGGGAAACUGCAUCGGAAACUGAUCGGCUUGAAGAUGGGAGAGGGUAGUGGAAUUCCCGGUGUAGUGGUGAAAUGCGUAGAUAUCGGGAGGAACACCAGUGGCGAAGGCGACUACCUGGCCCAUUCUUGACGCUGAGGCGCGAAAGCUAGGGGAGCGAACGGG